Molecule: ribosomal RNA, 501 nt
Filed under: uncultured bacterium
Lineage: Bacteria
Description: partial 16S ribosomal RNA
Rfam family: Bacterial small subunit ribosomal RNA
Source: RNAcentral
AUUGAACGCUGGCGGCAGGCUUAACACAUGCAAGUCGAGCGGAGAUGAGGUGCUUGCACCUUAUCUUAGCGGCGGACGGGUGAGUAAUGCUUAGGAAUCUGCCUAUUAGUGGGGGACAACAUUCCGAAAGGAAUGCUAAUACCGCAUACGUCCUACGGGAGAAAGCAGGGGAUCUUCGGACCUUGCGCUAAUAGAUGAGCCUAAGUCGGAUUAGCUAGUUGGUGGGGUAAAGGCCUACCGAGGCGACGAUCUGUAGCGGGUCUGAGAGGAUGAUCCGCCACACUGGGACUGAGACACGGCCCAGACUCCUACGGGAGGCAGCAGUGGGGAAUAUUUGACAAUGGGGGGAACCCUGAUCCAGCCAUGCCGCGUGUGUUAAGAAGGCCUUAUGGUUGUAAAGCACUUUAAGCGAGGAGGAGGCUACUGAGACUAAUACUCUUGGAUAGUGGACGUUACUCGCAGAAUAAGCACCGGCUAACUCUGUGCCAGCCGCCGCGGUAA